GAUGAACGCUGGCGGCGUGCUUAACACAUGCAAGUCGAACGAUGAAGCCCAGCUUGCUGGGUGGAUUAGUGGCGAACGGGUGAGUAACACGUGAGUAACCUGCCCUUGACUCUGGGAUAAGCCCGGGAAACUGGGUCUAAUACCGGAUAGGAGCGCCUGUCGCAUGACGGGUGUUGGAAAGAUUUUUCGGUCAUGGAUGGACUCGCGGCCUAUCAGCUUGUUGGUGAGGUAAUGGCUCACCAAGGCGACGACGGGUAGCCGGCCUGAGAGGGCGACCGGCCACACUGGGACUGAGACACGGCCCAGACUCCUACGGGAGGCAGCAGUGGGGAAUAUUGCACAAUGGGCGGAAGCCUGAUGCAGCGACGCCGCGUGAGGGAUGACGGCCUUUCGGGUUGUAAACCUUCU
RNAcentral lists this ribosomal RNA (408 nucleotides) under Micrococcus sp. oral taxon F54. Its description in RNAcentral is "bacterial SSU rRNA". It matches the Rfam family "Bacterial small subunit ribosomal RNA", at positions 28 to 435 of the family's 1533-position model. Lineage: Bacteria; Bacillati; Actinomycetota; Actinomycetes; Micrococcales; Micrococcaceae. The record is from RNAcentral.